UAGGUACAGAGAAUUUGACGGACGAGAUUAGGAUUGUGUGGGCGAAUUGAGGUAAGUAACCCCAGCACUGAUUUUAUUAAUUUAAAAAUUACUGUUUAAUUGUAAGAAUAAAAUAAUAAAAAAAUAUAUUUGUUAUGAUGUAUUUUCUUAAAAGUAGGAUCAAGCAUAUGAUUGCAUGUGAUUCAUAAGUUUGAUUAAAUUGCAUCCUUCAUAAAUAUUUCAGUAUAAAUUAUGGUUAUGAUAAAUUGCAUGAAAAUAAGAUUUGUGGCAUGAUUAUGAAUUUUAUACAUUACGAUGAAUUAUGGUUAUGAUAAAUCGCAUGAAAAUGAGAUUUGUGGCAUGAUCAUGAAUUUUAUACAUUACGAUGCCAUUUGUCAUUUUCCAACCUAUGUAUGAAAGUAUGACUAAUGAAAAAGAAUAAUGAUUUAUGAACUCUCAGAUAGCUAUGCCCACUUCUAGAAAUAGAGGUCAGUCGACCCCCCCUGGAGCUAGCAUCCCACGAAUAUGGCCCUCUGCCAACGGGUUAAAGUUGGUAACGAAUAUGAACAAGUUAUAAAACUCGUCGACUACGAAUACGAGCCCUGUCACGGGAUUAUAGUGACCAUAGCAGCACAUCCGUCUGAGAGUAAGAUUUAUAAAGUAUGGAUGAAUGGCAACAUUUUUAUAUGACUUGCAUUAUCAUGUUUACGAACUUGCAUGGUUGGAGCAUACAUUGGUUUAUGACCCAAUUUGAAUAUAUCAUCUCUGAAAUGCUUUAUUUUGCUAUAACUGUUAUAUUCUUCAAAUGAUGCAUUGGCAUGAGAAAGAUUAUGCUUGAUCUAAUAAGAUAGUACAUGGUUACUUACUGAGCCGCAAGCUCAUACCCCUCCUGUUGUUUUCUUUAUUUCAGAUAAUUAAGGCGAUUAAGAGCGAGAAAGAGUAAAUGAA
This 927-nucleotide long non-coding RNA is filed under the name Phoenix dactylifera (date palm). RNAcentral describes it as "long non-coding RNA (PDAC_LNC004977)". Lineage: Eukaryota; Viridiplantae; Streptophyta; Magnoliopsida; Arecales; Arecaceae. The record is from RNAcentral.